RNAcentral lists this ribosomal RNA (758 nucleotides) under uncultured Prevotella sp. RNAcentral's name for it is "bacterial SSU rRNA". It matches the Rfam family "Bacterial small subunit ribosomal RNA", at positions 28 to 776 of the family's 1533-position model. Lineage: Bacteria; Pseudomonadati; Bacteroidota; Bacteroidia; Bacteroidales; Prevotellaceae. The record is from RNAcentral.
GAUGAACGCUAGCUACAGGCUUAACACAUGCAAGUCGAGGGGCAGCGGGUCGAAAGCUUGCUUUCGAUGCCGGCGACCGGCGCACGGGUGCGUAACGCGUAUCAAACCUGCCUCAUACUCGGGGAUAGCCUUGCGAAAGUAAGAUUAAUACCCGAUGUUGUUGCUUUCUCGCAUGGGAGAGUAACCAAAGAUUUAUCGGUAUGAGAUGGUGAUGCGUCCGAUUAGGUAGUAGGCGGGGUAACGGCCCACCUAGCCUUCGAUCGGUAGGGGUUCUGAGAGGAAGGUCCCCCACACUGGAACUGAGACACGGUCCAGACUCCUACGGGAGGCAGCAGUGAGGAAUAUUGGUCAAUGGGCGAGAGCCUGAACCAGCCAAGUAGCGUGCAGGAUGACGGCCCUCCGGGUUGUAAACUGCUUUUAGUUGGGAAUAAAAAAAGGGACUUGUCCCUUCUUGUAUGUACCUUCAGAAAAAGGACCGGCUAAUUCCGUGCCAGCAGCCGCGGUAAUACGGAAGGUCCAGGCGUUAUCCGGAUUUAUUGGGUUUAAAGGGAGCGUAGGCGGAUUGUUAAGUCAGCGGUUAAAGGGUGUGGCUCAACCAUGCAUUGCCGUUGAAACUGGCGAUCUUGAGUGCAGACAGGGAUGCCGGAAUUCGUGGUGUAGCGGUGAAAUGCUUAGAUAUCACGAAGAACUCCGAUCGCGAAGGCAGGUGUCCGGGCUGCAACUGACGCUGAGGCUCGAAAGUGUGGGUAUCAAACAGG